UGGAAAGAAUUUCGGUCAAGGAUGAGCUCGCGGCCUAUCAGCUUGUUGGUGAGGUAAUGGCUCACCAAGGCGACGACGGGUAGCCGGCCUGAGAGGGUGACCGGCCACACUGGGACUGAGACACGGCCCAGACUCCUACGGGAGGCAGCAGUGGGGAAUAUUGCACAAUGGGCGCAAGCCUGAUGCAGCAACGCCGCGUGAGGGAUGAAGGCCUUCGGGUUGUAAACCUCUUUUAGCAGGGAAGAAGCGAAAGUGACGGUACCUGCAGAAAAAGCACCGGCUAACUACGUGCCAGCAGCCGCGGUAAUACGCAGGGUGCAAGCGUUGUCCGGAAUUAUUGGGCGUAAAGAGCUCGUAGGUCGUUAAUCACGUCGGAUGUGAAAAUCUGAGGCUCAACCUCAGACCUGCAUUCGAUACGGGUUAACUAGAGUGUGGUAGGGGAGACUGGAAUUCCUGGUGUAGCGGUGGAAUGCGCAGAUAUCAGGAGGAACACCAAUGGCGAAGGCAGGUCUCUGGGCCAUUACUGACACUGAGGAGCGAAAGUUCGGGGAGCGAACAGGAUUAGAUACCCUGGUAGUCC
RNAcentral lists this ribosomal RNA (580 nucleotides) under uncultured Microbacteriaceae bacterium. Its description in RNAcentral is "bacterial SSU rRNA". It matches the Rfam family "Bacterial small subunit ribosomal RNA", at positions 200 to 796 of the family's 1533-position model. Lineage: Bacteria; Bacillati; Actinomycetota; Actinomycetes; Micrococcales; Microbacteriaceae. The record is from RNAcentral.